GUUGACCUCGGAUCAGGUAGGGAUACCCGCUGAACUUACAACAGGGAUUACCUCAGUAACGGCGAGUGAAGCGGUAACAGCUCAAAUUUGAAAGCUAGCUCUUCUAGGGUUCGCAUUGUAAUUUGUAGAAGAUGCUUCGGGUGUGGCCCCGGUCUAAGUUCCUUGGAACAGGACGUCAUAGAGGGUGAGGAUCCCGUAUGUGACUGGGUGCUUUCGCUCAUGUGAAGCUCUUUCGACGAGUCGAGUUGUUUGGGAAUGCAGCUCAAAAUGGGUGGUAAAUUUCAUCUAAAGCUAAAUAUUGGCCAGAGACCGAUAGCGCACAAGUAGAGUGAUCGAAAGAUGAAAAGCACUUUGGAAAGAGAGUUAAACAGUACGUGAAAUUGUUGAAAGGGAAGCGCUUGCAACCAGACUUGCGCGCUGAUGAUCAUCCGGGCUUCUGUCCGGUGCACUCGUCUGCGCUCAGGCCAGCAUCGGUUUCGGUGGUGGGAUAAAGGCCUUGGGAAUGUAGCUUCUUUCGGGGAGUGUUAUAGCCCUCGGUGCAAUGCCGCCUACCGGGACCGAGGACCGCGCUUCGGCUAGGAUGCUGGCGUAAUGGUUGUAAGCGA
RNAcentral lists this ribosomal RNA (605 nucleotides) under Cadophora melinii. Its description in RNAcentral is "eukaryotic LSU rRNA". It matches the Rfam family "Eukaryotic large subunit ribosomal RNA", at positions 1 to 647 of the family's 3401-position model. The record is from RNAcentral. Lineage: Eukaryota; Fungi; Ascomycota; Leotiomycetes; Helotiales; Ploettnerulaceae.